CACUAGGAAGCUAAACCGGAAAGCAUUAGCCUUUUAAGCUAAAGAAUGGUGAUUACCAACCACCCCUAAUGA
Molecule: transfer RNA, 72 nt
Filed under: Rhynchoconger ectenurus
Lineage: Eukaryota; Metazoa; Chordata; Actinopteri; Anguilliformes; Congridae
Description: tRNA-Lys
Rfam family: tRNA
About the family: Transfer RNA (tRNA) molecules are approximately 80 nucleotides in length.
Source: RNAcentral